Molecule: small nucleolar RNA, 104 nt
Organism: Ochotona curzoniae (black-lipped pika)
Lineage: Eukaryota; Metazoa; Chordata; Mammalia; Lagomorpha; Ochotonidae
Product: small nucleolar RNA U13
Exons: 1
Source: RefSeq, a predicted model, not a curated record
GUCCUUCUGUGGUUCAUAUGCAUGAUGAUUGGGUUUACACGUGGCUAUGUAAUAUGUGCCUCCCUCCAACCUUGUUACAACAUUGGCACAUUACCUGUCUGAUG